RNAcentral lists this ribosomal RNA (799 nucleotides) under uncultured Spartobacteria bacterium. RNAcentral describes it as "bacterial SSU rRNA". It matches the Rfam family "Bacterial small subunit ribosomal RNA", at positions 8 to 796 of the family's 1533-position model. The record is from RNAcentral. Lineage: Bacteria; Pseudomonadati; Verrucomicrobiota; Spartobacteria.
AGAGUUUGAUCCUGGCUCAGAACGAACGCUGGCGGCGUGGAUAAGACAUGCAAGUCGAACGCUUGUCUUUCGGUAGCAAUAUCGAAAGGCAGGAGUGGCGCAAGGGUGCGUAACACGUGGAUCAUCUGCCGAAAAGUUCGGAAUAAUCCCGAGAAAUCGGGACUAAUGCCGGAUGUGGCCGGAAGGCUAAAGCUGGGGACCGCAAGGCCUGGCGCUUUUUGAUGAGUCCGCGGCCUAUCAGCUAGUUGGCGGGGUAACGGCCCACCAAGGCUAAGACGGGUAGCUGGUCUGAGAGGACGACCAGCCUCACUGGAACUGAGACACGGUCCAGACACCUACGGGUGGCAGCAGUCGAGAAUUUUUCUCAAUGGGGGAAACCCUGAAGGAGCGACGCCGCGUGGAGGAUGAAGGUCUUCGGAUUGUAAACUCCUGUCAUUGGGGAACAAAGCUGGGGGUUAACUGCCUGCCGGUCUGAUAGUACCCGAAGAGGAAGAGACGGCUAACUCUGUGCCAGCAGCCGCGGUAAUACAGAGGUCUCAAGCGUUGUUCGGAUUCAUUGGGCGUAAAGGGUGCGUAGGCGGCGGGGUAAGUCGGAUGUGAAAUCCCGGAGCUCAACUCCGGAACUGCAUUCGAUACUGCUUUGCUAGAGUGCUGGAGAGGGAACUGGAAUUUACGGUGUAGCAGUGAAAUGCGUAGAUAUCGUAAGGAAGACCAGCGGCGAAGGCGAGUUCCUGGACAGUUACUGACGCUGAGGCACGAAGGCCAGGGGAGCAAACGGGAUUAGAUACCCCUGUAGUCC